GGAAAGGCGCGCGAUACAGGGUGACAGCCCCGUACACAAAAAUGCACAUGCUGUGAGCUCGAUGAGUAGGGCGGGACACGUGGUAUCCUGUCUGAAUAUGGGGGGACCAUCCUCCAAGGCUAAAUACUCCUGACUGACCGAUAGUGAACCAGUACCGUGAGGGAAAGGCGAAAAGAACCCCGGCGAGGGGAGUGAAAAAGAACCUGAAACCGUGUACGUACAAGCAGUGGGAGCACAGAGCAAUCUGUGUGACUGCGUACCUUUUGUAUAAUGGGUCAGCGACUUAUAUUCUGUAGCAAGGUUAACCGAAUAGGGGAGCCGAAGGGAAACCGAGUCUUAACUGGGCGUUAAGUUGCAGGGUAUAGACCCGAAACCCGGUGAUCUAGCCAUGGGCAGGUUGAAGGUUGGGUAACACUAACUGGAGGACCGAACCGACUAAUGUUGAAAAAUUAGCGGAUGACUUGUGGCUGGGGGUGAAAGGCCAAUCAAACCGGGAGAUAGCUGGUUCUCCCCGAAAGCUAUUUAGGUAGCGCCU
Molecule: ribosomal RNA, 535 nt
Filed under: Escherichia coli
Lineage: Bacteria; Pseudomonadati; Pseudomonadota; Gammaproteobacteria; Enterobacterales; Enterobacteriaceae
Also listed under: 1 other name
Description: partial 23S ribosomal RNA
Rfam family: Bacterial large subunit ribosomal RNA
Source: RNAcentral